RNAcentral lists this long non-coding RNA (1019 nucleotides) under Vulpes vulpes (red fox). Its description in RNAcentral is "lncRNA (ENSVVUG00000014308.1)". Lineage: Eukaryota; Metazoa; Chordata; Mammalia; Carnivora; Canidae. The record is from RNAcentral.
CCUGGGGUCCCACAGCUUCUCAGGGGUCUGUGGCUACCCAGAGCCACAGAGAUGUCUGGGGUCAUACAGCACCCCAGAAUCGUAAAGACACCUGGGGACACACUGUCAUGCAGGGUCAUACAGCUGUCCAGGUCGUGCAGCCACCUGAGCUCCUCCAGACGUUCCAUGUCAUGCAGCUUCCCGAGGUCGUGCAGCUCUCUGGGGUCAUAUGCCUAUGCAGGGUCAUACAGCUUUCUAAGUGUUGUUUCUCCUCCUUGGGGCACCUCCUCCAGGAAGCCUUCCAGACCACACAAGUGUAUGGUAAUUCCUGCCUCUCCCCCAGCGCACACCAAAAAUAAAGCCGGGCUUUGUGCCUUGAAUCACCAUUUACAGAGCAAUGUAUACUUCACAAAGUAUUUUUCUGUCCGUGUCUCACUGAACCUCACAGGAACCCUAAUGGGGUCAGAUGAGUUUUGUCCCCGUUUUGCAGAUGGGGACCUGGGAGGCAAGGGGAGGGUGUAUGCUCACACGAGGGUGCAGUUGCACCCGUGCCAACCCUUCCCGAAAACUGCCUGGGUGCCAAGGGCUGCCCCGUGUUUCCACACAGUUGUUUACUCAAUAACCAUUGACUGAGCACCUACUCUGUGCCAGCCGCCGACACAGAUGCUGUGCCAGCAGCACCGAGAAAACAGACCAACACAGUCCCUCCUCCUGCAAGCCGCGUCCUAGGGAGAAGAGACCGUGCUCGGCAAGUCAGGUGGUGAGUGAGGUGGUGACACUCUGUGCAGACCAAGAAGUGGGGGGAAGCCCGAGGGGGGCAUCAGGCAAGAUCGCAGGUGAGGGGACUUGGAGACACCUGAAGGAGGGAAGGGACAGCCCCAAGGAUGUCCACCCCGAAGCCAGACUGUCUCCCAUGGGGGGCCGGGCCGUGCCCCUCUGCCCCCACCCUGAACACUCCCCGAGGAGGCCCCCCGCUGCAGCUCUCCCCGGCCCUGCCUGCUGGGCCCUCGCCCUCGCCCCGGCCACCAAUCCUGCACCCC